CGGCCCGCGUUUGGAUUGGCGGAGAAAGCGCACCUCGCCCAAUGGGAAUAAAGAAUAACGCGCAGAUUAUCUAUUUUUUACCUGAUUUUUUUUGAUAAGCUCGCCAGUGUUUAACUGAUGGUUGAACUGGUUGCGAAUUAAGUUGCACCUUCGACGAGGAAUUAGCAAGUCGCGAAUUUCAUAAGAUCGAGGAAGAUCAAAAAGUAAGAAAAAACGGCCAACUUGGAGGGAAUAUUACGUGGCAAGAAAUGGCAGAAGCUGGAACUUUCAAGAAGAUAUUGUGACCUAACUUUGGAGCAAAAAAUUAAUUAAAAAAAUUUAUUAUAACGAGACAUCAAUUACGUUAAAAAAUCUCGUUAAAAGAUUUUAUGUGUCCCACAUGCAGCGUUCUGAGAACCCUUGAGGAUAGAUUGUGCCACCAUUCGAGAAAGGGCAUACAGCUUGCUCCGCUCACCGGAAAAUCCCAAACUUUUUCAUUUCAGGAUGUGCCUGCGUUCACUCAAAAAAUGUUGGUAUAUAUAUGACAAGUUUUAGAAAUUAAAACAAACAAAUGUGAUUAAGGUAACCAAAAAUUAAAAGUUUCGCAUAUUUUAAA
Zophobas morio is the source of this 595-nucleotide long non-coding RNA. RefSeq lists it as uncharacterized. NCBI's taxonomy places the organism in Eukaryota, Metazoa, Arthropoda, Insecta, Coleoptera, Tenebrionidae. The transcript is spliced from 2 exons. The record is from RefSeq and is a predicted model, not a curated record.